This is a long non-coding RNA of Papaver somniferum (opium poppy), 3499 nucleotides long. RefSeq lists it as uncharacterized. The transcript has 7 exons. NCBI's taxonomy places the organism in Eukaryota, Viridiplantae, Streptophyta, Magnoliopsida, Ranunculales, Papaveraceae. The record is from RefSeq and is a predicted model, not a curated record.
CGCCUGACCAAAUUUUAAUCAUGUACCGUUGCGUCACACCACGGACUAAACCCAAAUUUUGGUCUUUUUUUUGAUCUUUGAUCUUUGGUUUUGAUCGCACCACUGCAGUUGCUCUUAGACACUAUUAAUGAACAGUGAAUGAAGCUGCAAAUUGAAAAACCCGAAAUUGCCCUUGAUUUUAGAACACUAUCAAAAAUAUCAUCCAAAUUAAGUGAGGCUAAAAUAGUAAAUAUGUAAACUAAUCACAGCUAAAGAGAGAAUAAAGGGAAAAUAGGUCAGGUGUUCAAGGGUCCCAUGAAAGGAAAAACCAGAGCACGUGUGAAGCACGUGCAUGCUUACUUGUCCACCAAAAUGAAAACAUUGUCUACCAAACUUGCAGCAAAAGAAAGAAAAAUAACAAGCUAAAAUUCUGUGAAGAAAAAACAAAAAGAGAUAAUGGCAAUGCAGUGAUUACAUCAAGCGGACUGCUUGAAUGCCUUCCUUCGCAGUAGCCUUUCUUCCCUCCCCGAAAUUACAGUUCCUUCUGUCCAUCAUCCAUCUUUACUCCAACUACAUUUGGCAGAAUUUCCGGGUUGUGUUUUUCCAGUUUCUAGAAUCAUGAAAUGAAAUAAUUAGUCUUUUGUAAACAAAAGUUACAGGUCUAUAAAAGAAAGGAGAAGAAAAUAUAGACUGCUCACUUUGAUUAUAUAUUCUCGGAGUUCCAGAAGCUCCAUAUCAUUUUGAUUAAUCUUAUCACCGAGAGUACGUGCCUGUUACAUAAGCAACAAUAAAUAAUUUACAAAUAUCUUCGUAUAAAUCAAAAAAUGAUGAAUGAGGAUGUAAAAAUCCUGAACUAUCAUAGUUGCUGGGAAAUCAUAUUAAUGACACCGACAAAUCAGUAUGUUCCAAUGAUAUAAUCAUAUUAUUAAUGAUAAGGAAUAGUUGCAGGGAAGGAUAAAUAAAAUAUUUCCUGUGAAGAAAGUCUAAGAAAGUCUUCUUUUCAGUAUAAACAAGUCUAAUACCUUCUUUACUAAUACCUUUUUUUUAGUAUAUACUCAUGAAAGACCAAACAAGUCUGCAUAUCAUAAUACCUUCUUUUUAGUAUAUAUAUAUAUAUAUACUCAUAAGUUUACUAAUUAUAAUCCCAAAGUUUUAUUUUUCUCCCAAAGAAAAAUAGACCAUAAUUCUUAAUUUACUCUAAAAUAAUUAUUUUUCUUGUAUAUUCUAAUUAUGCAUUGGUUAUAUUUAAAUCGACAGCCUUGUGUAAUCUCUUUUCGCCUCAACGAAGUCUAAUUUCAAAAAUAAUAUAAAAAAAUUGCUUCUAAUUGUCAAUGCAUGAAUAAUGUUAUUAAGAAGAUAAACAAAAUAACUUGUUCACAAAUAACUUCUAAUUAUGCUAGAAGUUUUUUUUUUAAUCAUUAAGUAAACAUGUUACCUUUUCCUUCUCCGUGUUGAUCCUUUCUCCAAUGGAUGACAGAAGUGUUUGCGAUUCCGCGAUCAGUCUCUUGAUUUCUUCAUAAAACAACACCAAGCAAUGAGUUUAUAUUAAUAUCAUUCCAAAAAUAGGAAAGUUCAUAAUUUUCGAUCUACACUGAAUAAAACAGUUUGAAAUAUCAAUUGUUUCAUACCGUUCGCCCUAGCAGAAGAAUCCAUCUCAAAGAUUUUUUUGUUUCGAACAAACAUCGAAGGAAUAAGAUUGCUUGACAAUUUUUGGGAGAAAAAACUCAUAAUAUUGCUUGAAAAUUUUAGCCAAGGAAUAAGAUUGAUUCUUUAUAAAUAGAUUGAAAAUUGAAAUUCCCCAACAGUCAUGACUCCUCGUUUAUGCAACCCAAUGGUUAAAUUACAUUGAAUUGUGACUCUUUAUGUAGUUGGACUACUUCGGAGAUUGGCCUCGUGGUAAAGGUAUUGACGGAAAAAACUCGUAAGAUUGCUUGAAAAUUUUAGCUAAGGAAUAAGAUUGCUAUUGAAAAUUGAAAUUCCCCAACAGUCAUGACUCCUCGUUUAUGCAACUCAAUGGUCAAAUUACAUUGAAUUGUGACUCUUUAUGUAGUUGGACUACUUCGGAAAUUGGCCUCAUGGUAAAGGUAUCUGGGAAAAAUCCUCCAAAGACUUUCAAAGGAAGAAAAUUGACUGUCGGCCGGGCUUGAACUGGGGAAUCCUCAACCGUUCGUUAGUGGAUCGCAUCAGCCGUUGGAUUAGAAACUCUAGAUAAGACUAUAAAUACCAACAACUUACCAGCAGAAACCCUAUUAUUUUUUUUCUCCUUUUUCGUCGUAGCUCACUCCAUCCUUCUCUCUCUCUCUGCAAACAAAAUCAUUUCCUUCUAUCUGAAGAGUAACAAGAAUCUAUUGCUAUAAUCAAAAUCACUUGAUCUCAGAUUGGAAGGUAUUGCGCUACUUUGGAGUUUAAUCUUAAUCGAGCAAGGUAUUGCGUUAACUUCGGAGUUUAAUCUUAAUCGAGCAAGAAUAAGUGGGCGUUUGCCCUAUCAAGCAAACAUGUAUCGGGAUCUUUUGACAGGGGUGCUCUAUUUGGAUACAUGACAAAUAUGUAUAAUAUUGAUAAACUGCCUGCUCCUCUGAGUGUUGAUUAGAAUUAUGCCUUCCCAUAUAUCUUCGAACCUUACAUGUUUUUUACUUGCAUCAGUCGUGAUGACGCAACUAUUUUCUAUCACCGGGAUAACCCUGUAUACCCACUUGUCAGUAGACUUCGAGAGGAUAAAUCUGAAGCUGUCACAACCAAAUACAAAGAUAAAGCUCAAGGAGUUGUUGUGGAAUGCAAGAGAAAAUAUUACUAGUCCAGGAAAAAAAACUAGAUUUUAUGUCUGAUAGAGAGGGGACGACAGAGGAAAGAAAUGCUUACUUGGAGCACAUGGGGCAAGGAAUAUAAUGUGUGGAGUAGUCUCACAACGGGUGAGGGAGUUUCAUCGCCUAACAGACUCCAAUAGGUGAGUUUCAUCGCCUAUUGGAGUUGAAUGAACAUAAGUUCAAAACCAACUUUAAAGGAAACACAUCAAUUCAGUGAUCCAAGGUGAAUUUUCCAUUUGAAAAGAUUGCUCUCUGUUGUUGGUUGAUGUAGAACAUGAGCUUAGGUUAAAGAUGGUACAGGAAAGAAAUGCUCACUUGGAAGAUAUAGUGUGAAACUUCAAAUGGGCUAGCACGUCUGGCCAGGGUUAUCCCUGUGAUAGAAUAUAAUUAACUUUCUUCUACCACCGGGUAAUCCUGGCUGGAAAUGCAAGUCCCUAAAACUAUAUGAAUUUGUUGAAAAACUUUACUAAAUCCAUGUGGAUGUUUCCUACGCUUGCUGAAUCAGAUUCAGGUUACCUCAAAAGUAGCCGUAAUUUUGGAGAUAGUAUUAAUUGAGUGGUUUUGAUAAUAUCCUUGUGCAGACUCCCAAUAAUUUUGUGGUUGAUUUAAAGGUGUUUUAAUACAACUCCGCAGUGUUCACUUGUAUUUUAUUCAACUUAUUAUUGUUAUUCCCUUUCAGUUUCAAUGAAAUGCUAUUAAUGUCUUUGCUGACUGCA